Molecule: ribosomal RNA, 252 nt
Filed under: uncultured bacterium
Lineage: Bacteria
Description: partial 16S ribosomal RNA
Rfam family: Bacterial small subunit ribosomal RNA
Source: RNAcentral
UACAGAGGGUGCAAGCGUUGCUCGGAUUUACUGGGCGUAAAGCGUACGCAGACGGUGAGAAAGGUCGGAUGUGAAAGCCCCGGGCUCAACCCGGGAACUGCAUCCGAAACCAUCUCGCUAGAGUAUGGGAGAGGGAAGCGGAAUUCCUGGUGUAGAGGUGAAAUUCGUAGAUAUCAGGAGGAACACCGGCGGCGAAGGCGGCUUCCUGGCCCAUUACUGACGUUCAGGUAUGAAGCGUGGGAUAGCAACAGG